GAAAGAAAAGGAGUGGCGAACGGGUGAGUAACACGUGGGUAACCUGCCCAUCAGAAGGGGAUAACACUUGGAAACAGGUGCUAAUACCGUAUAACAAUCGAAACCGCAUGGUUUCGGUUUGAAAGGCGCUUUUGCGUCACUGAUGGAUGGACCCGCGGUGCAUUAGCUAGUUGGUGAGGUAACGGCUCACCAAGGCAACGAUGCAUAGCCGACCUGAGAGGGUGAUCGGCCACAUUGGGACUGAGACACGGCCCAAACUCCUACGGGAGGCAGCAGUAGGGAAUCUUCGGCAAUGGACGGAAGUCUGACCGAGCAACGCCGCGUGAGUGAAGAAGGUUUUCGGAUCGUAAAACUCUGUUGUUAGAGAAGAACAAGGAUGAGAGUAGAAUGUUCAUCCCUUGACGGUAUCUAACCAGUAAGCCACGGCUAACUACGUGCCAGCAGCCGCGGUAAUACGUAGGUGGCAAGCGUUGUCCGGAUUUAUUGGGCGUAAAGCGAGCGCAGGCGGUUUCUUAAGUCUGAUGUGACAGCCCCCGGCUCAACCGGGGAGGGUCAUUGGAAACUGGGAAACUUG
This 574-nucleotide ribosomal RNA is filed under the name uncultured Bacilli bacterium. RNAcentral describes it as "bacterial SSU rRNA". It matches the Rfam family "Bacterial small subunit ribosomal RNA", at positions 83 to 644 of the family's 1533-position model. Lineage: Bacteria; Bacillati; Bacillota; Bacilli. The record is from RNAcentral.